Molecule: unclassified non-coding RNA, 329 nt
Filed under: soil metagenome
Description: partial contains 5.8S ribosomal RNA, internal transcribed spacer 2, and large subunit ribosomal RNA
Rfam family: 5.8S ribosomal RNA (bases 1-120)
Source: RNAcentral
GAUGAAGAACGCAGCGAAAUGCGAUAAGUAAUGUGAAUUGCAGAAUUCAGUGAAUCAUCGAAUCUUUGAACGCACAUUGCGCCCUCUGGUAUUCCGGGGGGCAUGCCUGUUCGAGCGUCAUUAUAACCGCUCAAGCUCUCGCUUGGUAUUGGGGCUCGCGGUUCCGCGGCCCCUAAAAUCAGUGGCGGUGCCUGUCGGCUCUACGCGUAGUAAUACUCCUCGCGAUUGAGUCCGGUAGGUCUACUUGCCAGCAACCCCCAAUUUUUACAGGUUGACCUCGGAUCAGGUAGGGAUACCCGCUGAACUUAAGCAUAUCAAUAAGCGGAGGA